CUGUUGUGGAAUAUGAGUGCCGUCCAGGUUACAGAAGAGAACCUUCUCUAUCACCAAAACUAACUUGCCUUCAGAAUUUAAAAUGGUCCACAGCAGUCGAAUUUUGUAAAAAAAUCAUGCCCUAAUCCGGGAGAAAUACGAAAUGGUCAGAUUGAUGUACCAGGUGGCAUAUUAUUUGGUGCAACCAUCUCCUUCUCAUGUAACACAGGGUACAAAUUAUUUGGCUCGACUUCUAGUUUUUGUCUUAUUUCAGGCAGCUCUGUCCAGUGGAGUGACCCGUUGCCAGAGUGCAGAGAAAUUUAUUGUCCAGCACCACCACAAAUUGACAAUGGAAUAAUUCAAGGGGAACGUGACCAUUAUGGAUAUAGACAGUCUGUAACGUAUGCAUGUAAUAAAGGAUUCACCAUGAUUGGAGAGCACUCUAUUUAUUGUACUGUGAAUAAUGAUGAAGGAGAGUGGAGUGGCCCACCACCUGAAUGCAGAGGAAAAUCUCUAACUUCCAAGGUCCCACCAACAGUUCAGAAACCUACCACAGUAAAUGUUCCAACUACAGAAGUCUCACCAACUUCUCAGAAAACCACCACAAAAACCACCACACCAAAUGCUCAAGCAACACGGAGUACACCUGUUUCCAGGACAACCAAGCAUUUUCAUGAAACAACCCCAAAUAAAGGAAGUGGAACCACUUCAGGUACUACCCGUCUUCUAUCUGGGCACACGUGUUUCACGUUGACAGGUUUGCUUGGGACGCUAGUAACCAUGGGCUUGCUGACUUAGCCAAAGAAGAGUUAAGAAGAAAAUACACACAAGUAUACAGACUGUUCCUAGUUUCUUAGACUUAUCUGCAUAUUGGAUAAAAUAAAUGCAAUUGUGCUCU
This 877-nucleotide long non-coding RNA is filed under the name Homo sapiens (human). Its description in RNAcentral is "long non-coding RNA NONHSAT150390.1". The record is from RNAcentral. Lineage: Eukaryota; Metazoa; Chordata; Mammalia; Primates; Hominidae.